UGGUGGAGUGAUUUGUCUGGUUAAUUCCGUUAACGAACGAGACCUCAUCCUGCUAAUUAGUCUAAGCAAUCCUCGGAUUGGCUCUGACUUCUUAGAGGGACUGUUGGUGUGGCAAGCCAACGGAGGUUUGAGGCAAUAACA
This 141-nucleotide ribosomal RNA is filed under the name uncultured eukaryote. Its description in RNAcentral is "partial 18S ribosomal RNA". It matches the Rfam family "Eukaryotic small subunit ribosomal RNA", at positions 1299 to 1458 of the family's 1831-position model. The record is from RNAcentral.